GAUGAACGCUGGCGGCGUGCCUAAUACAUGCAAGUAGGACGCAGUUGCGAACGGGUUAGUAACGCGUAGGUAACUACCUAUUAGAGGGGGAUAACUAUUGGAACCGAUAGCUAAUACCGCAUACUAGUAGAUGGACCUGCGCUGUGUUAGCUAGUAGGUAGGGUAAUGGCCUACCUAGGCAACGAUACAUAAUCGGCCUGAGAGGGAGUUAUGGCACACUUGGACGUGGGCACGGGCCAGACUCCUACGGGAGGCAGGAGUAGGGGAACUUUGGCAAUGGGGGGAAACCUGACCGGGCAAGGCCGCGUGAGUGAAGAAAGUUUUCGGAUCGUAAAGCUCUGUUGUUAAGGAAGCGGUACUUAACCAGAAAGGGACGGCUAACUACGUGCCAGCAGCCGCGGUAAUAC
RNAcentral lists this ribosomal RNA (407 nucleotides) under uncultured bacterium. RNAcentral's name for it is "partial 16S ribosomal RNA". It matches the Rfam family "Bacterial small subunit ribosomal RNA", at positions 28 to 526 of the family's 1533-position model. The record is from RNAcentral.